GACGAACGCUGGCGGCGUGCUUAACACAUGCAAGUCGAACGGUGAACCAGAGCUUGCUCUGGGGAUCAGUGGCGAACGGGUGAGUAACACGUGGGCAACCUGCCCAGACUCUGGGAUAACCUCGGGAAACCGAUGCUAAUACCGGAUACGACCACUUCGGACAUCCGACGGUGGUGGAAAGUUUUUCGGUCUGGGAUGGGCCCGCGGCCUAUCAGCUAGUUGGUGGGGUAAUGGCCUACCAAGGCGACGACGGGUAGCCGGCCUGAGAGGGCGACCGGCCACACUGGAACUGAGACACGGUCCAGACUCCUACGGGAGGCAGCAGUGGGGAAUAUUGCACAAUGGGCGAAAGCCUGAUGCAGCGACGCCGCGUGAGGGACGACGGCCUUCGGUUGU
This 396-nucleotide ribosomal RNA is filed under the name uncultured bacterium. Its description in RNAcentral is "bacterial SSU rRNA". It matches the Rfam family "Bacterial small subunit ribosomal RNA", at positions 28 to 426 of the family's 1533-position model. The record is from RNAcentral.